This 76-nucleotide transfer RNA is filed under the name Thermoguttaceae bacterium. RNAcentral describes it as "tRNA-Pro". It matches the Rfam family "tRNA". From Rfam's summary of the family: Transfer RNA (tRNA) molecules are approximately 80 nucleotides in length. Their secondary structure includes four short double-helical elements and three loops (D, anti-codon, and T loops). Further hydrogen bonds mediate the characteristic L-shaped molecular structure. tRNAs have two regions of fundamental functional importance: the anti-codon, which is responsible for specific mRNA codon recognition, and the 3' end, to which the tRNAs corresponding amino acid is attached (by aminoacyl-tRNA synthetases). tRNAs cope with the degeneracy of the genetic code in two manners: having more than one tRNA (with a specific anti-codon) for a particular amino acid; and 'wobble' base-pairing, i.e. permitting non-standard base-pairing at the 3rd anti-codon position. The record is from RNAcentral. Lineage: Bacteria; Pseudomonadati; Planctomycetota; Planctomycetia; Pirellulales; Thermoguttaceae.
CGGGGCGUGGCGCAGUCUGGUUUAGCGCGUUUGACUGGGGGUCAAAAGGUCGCUGGUUCGAAUCCAGUCGCCCCGA